This 338-nucleotide ribosomal RNA is filed under the name uncultured bacterium. RNAcentral describes it as "partial 16S ribosomal RNA". It matches the Rfam family "Bacterial small subunit ribosomal RNA", at positions 338 to 693 of the family's 1533-position model. The record is from RNAcentral.
CCUACGGGUGGCAGCAGUGGGGGAUAUUGGACAAUGGGGGGAACCCUGAUCCAGCGACGCCGCGUGAGUGAAGAAGUAUUUCGGUAUGUAAAGCUCUGUCAGCAGGGAAGAAAGAAAUUACGGUACCUGACCAAGAAGCCCCGGCUAACUACGUUCCAGCAGCCGCGGUAAUACGUGGGGGGCAAGCGUUAUCCGGAAUUACUGGUUGUAAGGGGAGAGUAAACGGUUAGGUAAGUCUGGAGUGAAAGGCCGGGGCCCAACCCCGGGACUGCUCUGGAAACUAUUGAACUUGGGUGCAGGAGAGGUAAGCGGAAUUCCAAGUGUAGGGGGGAAAGGGG